RNAcentral lists this ribosomal RNA (478 nucleotides) under uncultured marine bacterium. RNAcentral describes it as "bacterial SSU rRNA". It matches the Rfam family "Bacterial small subunit ribosomal RNA", at positions 53 to 526 of the family's 1533-position model. The record is from RNAcentral.
ACAUGCAAGUCGAACGGUAGCACAGAAGAGCUUGCUCUUUGGGUGACGAGUGGCGGACGGGUGAGUAAUGCUUAGGAACAUGCCUUUGCGUGGGGGAUAACUAUUGGAAACGAUAGCUAAUACUUCAUGAUGUCUACGGACCAAAGGGGGCUUCGGCUCUCGCGCAGAGAGUGGCCUAAGCGAGAUUAGCUUGUUGGUGAGGUAAAGGCUCACCAAGGCGACGNNCUCUAGCUGUUCUGAGAGGAAGAUCAGCCACACUGGAACUGAGACACGGUUCAGACUCCUACGGGAGGCAGCAGUGGGGAAUAUUGCACAAUGGGGGCAACCCUGAUGCAGCCAUGCCGCGUGUGUGAAGAAGGCCUUCGGGUUGUAAAGCACUUUCAGUCGUGAGGAAAGGUUAAUGGUUAAUACCCAUUAGCUGUGACGUUAGCGACAGAAGAAGGACCGGCUAACUCCGUGCCAGCAGCCGCGGUAAUAC